GAAUACAAUGCCAACAAGAUUUGCUAAGACAAUUUAUGUUUUAAACUAGAGAAAGGAAAAAGAAACAAAUUAAACAAGGGUGGACUUCAAUUUGGCCCACACAAUGUUAUAAUUAUUGAGAUACAACAACUAGUUCAACACAUAUGAGACUUGUGUUUGGCCAUUCGCAUAAGGUGGUCCCUGUGAGCAAGGUUGGUCAAUAAUUACUUUU
This 211-nucleotide long non-coding RNA is filed under the name Carica papaya (papaya). Its description in RNAcentral is "long non-coding RNA (CPAP_LNC011867)". Lineage: Eukaryota; Viridiplantae; Streptophyta; Magnoliopsida; Brassicales; Caricaceae. The record is from RNAcentral.